GCAUUCAGUCUCUGGGCA
This 18-nucleotide small nuclear RNA is filed under the name Arabidopsis thaliana (thale cress). Its description in RNAcentral is "snRNA_17861". The record is from RNAcentral. Lineage: Eukaryota; Viridiplantae; Streptophyta; Magnoliopsida; Brassicales; Brassicaceae.